This 492-nucleotide ribosomal RNA is filed under the name uncultured bacterium. Its description in RNAcentral is "partial 16S ribosomal RNA". It matches the Rfam family "Bacterial small subunit ribosomal RNA", at positions 29 to 507 of the family's 1533-position model. The record is from RNAcentral.
AGUGAACGCUGGCGGUAGGCCUAACACAUGCAAGUCGAACGGCAGCACAGUAAGAGCUUGCUCUUACGGGUGGCGAGUGGCGGACGGGUGAGGAGUACAUCGGAAUCUACUUUUUCGUGGGGGAUAACGUAGGGAAACUUACGCUACUACCGCAUACGACCUACGGGUGAAAGCAGGGGAUCUUCGGACCUUGCGCGAUUGAAUGAGCCGAUGUCGGAUUAGCUAGUUGGCGGGGUAAAGGCCCACCAAGGCGACGAUCCGUAGCUGGUCUGAGAGGAUGAUCAGCCACACUGGAACUGAGACACGGUCCAGACUCCUACGGGAGGCAGCAGUGGGGAAUAUUGGACAAUGGGCGCAAGCCUGAUCCAGCCAUACCGCGUGGGUGAAGAAGGCCUUCGGGUUGUAAAGCCCUUUUGUUGGGAAAGAAAAGCAGCAGGUUAAUACCCCGCUGUUCUGACGGUACCCAAAGAAUAAGCACCGGCUAACUUCGUG